AUGUAUUACUGGUGUUUGUACAUUGUUGUCCUGAUAUCUGAACUAUUUAUUUUUCAGAUUGAAAUGUUCUGUCCGUUUUGUGCUGUGCAACUGGGGGACGCUCCCAAGUUUUGCCCGUCGUGUGGUCUAAACGUGGGGUUCCUUACAGAGCGUCCAUCCACGUCAUCAAGCGUAGGCCAUGGGCCUACAGUGAAUGAGACAAGUAUCCAAGGAAGAGCAGCUCAAUUCAUGAGGUUCAGGGAAGUUAAAGAGGCUGAGAGGAGGACCUUUUCAAAGGCUAAAAAGAAACCAAACAUUACGGUCAAGAUUUCGAUUGGCAUAAUGACCAGAACAAAAUAUGGGUUAAAACCUAUAAGAGGGAAAACCUUGCCAUUAAAUGUUGAACCCCUGUGGUCAUCAAAACAAAUUUUGCCAGCUGCUAUAAAAAAACAGCGAGAUUUUAAUCAAGACACAAUGUACGAUGGAGAAUAUGUUCUGGUCUAUCCUGAUGGCUCUCAGGUACAAAAUAUACCAGGCACAGACAGACCCUUUGUCCUUGAACAUUAUAAAGAGGCCAUUGGAAAGGCUUACCAGAGGAUCGUACUGUACAUCUGCCCCCUUCAGGAUUUGAGUCAUGGAGAUGACUCAUCUUCAGAAUCCGAUGAUGAAGCAUUUGCUAGGCUUCCAAUGAAAAUUUUACCAAAACAAUGUCCACCAACAAUGUCCAGGCCAUCUGAUGGGCAAGCCAACGGAGCAGGAGCAGAACCCAAAAACACCACAUCAUGUGACUUCUACAAGUAAGUCACAAUGGAUUAAAAUUGUUCUCUUCAUUGCAGUAAUACUUUUGGCUCUAUCGACUGCUGAAUGUAAUGGAUUACAGUACCAAGUAUAACACCUUUUUUACUGUAAUUUCACAACCAUCUUGUUUUAGUAUUUCAUUGUUCCUUUAAUCCACAGCACAUAUACCAAGAUCUAUGCCCCAGUUGUCAUUGACAGCAGUUGCUCUGAUGUUGAGGACGUAGAAAUAAUGCUGUCAACCUUUUUUCUUCUUUCCCUCUAAUGACAUAUUAAAUAGUUCAAGCUACAUUGGGCAUUUAUUUACCUGGUUUCUGUUGCCAUACAAUUAUUAAAGUAAAUAUUUAAAUUGUAUAUAUUUUUUAACUUACCCCUUAACAGAAAAAAAUCUGGCAGAAAUUAUUGAAAGCUUGCAAUGUGUGCUUCAUGCUUAUGCCCAUCACAUUUCAUCACACUCAUAUGGUGUUCUCACUGUAAUGGGCCCAUAAAAGAUUUAUAUUUUAAUUAUCCGCAUAAAAGGCAGUGUUAAUGUUUUUCUUUCUUGUGUUGCAGAGACACAGAUAUUGGACUGACUGCUGCAGACAUUCUGUCAAAUCUGUCAUUCAACAUAAACACAAAAAGCUGUAGCAGGUUUAAUAUAAACCGUUCUAAUGUCUGGGAUGGUGCUCUGAGGGGAUUCAAACGUUCCUCAUUUGACCCCACCUGUAGCCUUUUGGUCAAAUUCACUGAUGACAUCGGGCAAACAGAGGAGGCUGUGGACACAGGAGGGCCUACGCGGGAAUUUCUGACACUCUUGAUGGACGCCAUUAAAACCAGUAGAUUUUUUGAAGGCAAAGAUGAUGGCAAAUACCUGUCAUUUGAUAGCAAAACUGCAGAAGGUGAUGAGUAUUUCCAUGUUGGAAUAAUGGUUGCGGUCUCCAUUGUACAUGGUGGUCCAGGGCCUCAAUGCUUUUCCCCAAGCUUCUACCAGUACCUGGUUGGUAAAGUGAAGACCAUUGAGGCCCCAAUUGAGGAUAUACCUGAUACUGAAGUCAGGAAUGUUCUCCUUGAGAUUAAGAAUGCUAGAACAUUGGAGGAACUCGUGGAACUCGCAGAUAAGCACUCCAGCAUGCUUCAGACAGCAGGAUGCUAUCGAUGCCUGAGGACACUGGGGGAUAAGGAAAAAGUUGUGGAUGGUUACAUCCAGUGGUACUUCACCUACCGCAACCAUGUUUCCUUCCAGAGGUUCAAGGAUGGCCUGGCUACCCUCAACUUUUUCAACGCUCUGGAACAGCAUCCCUCCAUUUUCCUGCCCUACAUGUGUUACAGAGCGGAAGACCUGACAGCCGAGAGUGUAGAGUCACUGUUCCGUCCACAAUUGAGCCCAACUGGUAGCUCAAAUCGCCAUGAGGAGGAGAGAGUGCUUGGCUACUGGCUGGACUACUUAAUCGCUGUAAAAGAGGACGGGUCAGGGAUGUCUCUGGAGGACAUUCUAAUGUUUGCAACAGGCCUGAAAGAAAUCCCAGCAGCAAAAUUAAUACCACAGCCUCAACUCACAUUCCAGAAACACUCAAGGUUUCCUGAGGCUAAUGUCUGCGCUAACACAAUAAAACUCCCGAUCUUACCCUCA
This is a long non-coding RNA of Cyprinus carpio (common carp), 2383 nucleotides long. The record is from Ensembl. Lineage: Eukaryota; Metazoa; Chordata; Actinopteri; Cypriniformes; Cyprinidae.